ACGUAGGGUCCGAGCGUUGUCCGGAGUUACUGGGCGUAAAGCGCGCGCAGGCGGCGGUGUUGGCCCGGCGUGAAAGCCCCCGGCUCAACCGGGGAGGGUCGUCGGGGACCGCACCGCUUGAGGGCGGUAGGGGCUGGUGGAAUGCCUGGUGUAGUGGUGAAAUGCGUAGAGAUCAGGCGGAACACCUGUGGCGAAGGCGGCCAGCUGGGCCGUCCCUGACGCUGAGGCGCGAAGGCGUGGGGAGCGAACGGGA
This 253-nucleotide ribosomal RNA is filed under the name uncultured prokaryote. RNAcentral's name for it is "partial 16S ribosomal RNA". It matches the Rfam family "Bacterial small subunit ribosomal RNA", at positions 525 to 777 of the family's 1533-position model. The record is from RNAcentral.